Molecule: ribosomal RNA, 498 nt
Filed under: uncultured bacterium
Lineage: Bacteria
Description: partial 16S ribosomal RNA
Rfam family: Bacterial small subunit ribosomal RNA
Source: RNAcentral
GAUGAACGCUGGCGGCGUGCCUAAUACAUGCAAGUCGAGCGAACAGAUAAGGAGCUUGCUCCUUUGACGUUAGCGGCGGACGGGUGAGUAACACGUGGGUAACCUACCUAUAAGACUGGAAUAACUCCGGGAAACCGGGGCUAAUGCCGGAUAACAUUUAGAACCGCAUGGUUCUAAAGUGAAAGAUGGUUUUGCUAUCACUUAUAGAUGGACCCGCGCCGUAUUAGCUAGUUGGUAAGGUAACGGCUUACCAAGGCAACGAUACGUAGCCGACCUGAGAGGGGUGAUCGGCCACACUGGAACUGAGACACGGUCCAGACUCCUACGGGAGGCAGCAGUAGGGAAUCUUCCGCAAUGGGCGAAAGCCUGACGGAGCAACGCCGCGUGAGUGAUGAAGGUCUUCGGAUCGUAAAACUCUGUUAUUAGGGAAGAACAAAUGUGUAAGUAACUGUGCACGUCUUGACGGUACCUAAUCAGAAAGCCACGGCUAACUACGUG